AAAGAGGCUUCCGAGGCGCAUGCUCGGUCUUGCUAGUACCGGCAGAUUGGAGACUGAUGAAUGUGAAACUGCCUCCCGCAGUGACCUGGUCCCUCACCAUGCUGACCGUGAUGCUCCCUGCUGAUCUCUUCCAUCCUAUCAGUGGGGGUGUGAUGGUAUGCAGGACCCUGUAUGAUCUACAUCACCUUACCUGGUCCACAUUGACUGCUUGUGUGAGGCAUGAUAAGAUUGAAUUUAAAGAUGGACUGACUUGUUAAACAGAGAUAGGGAGGGAACCUUGCUAUUGAAAGGGAGUGAUGCUGCUGCAUGUGGCUGUUGACUGGGCUGACCAGUUCCAGGCGCUGAAUCUGCUGCUGAAUGUGUGGAGAUGAUGAGACUGCACAGUGCUGGAGCUGCUGCCUGUCCUCCUGGCCUUCCUGACAAGAGUUGAUCAAGAGACAGAGGCUGAAGAGUGCCCCCCUCCAUGUGUAGCUGCUGUUGUGAAGCCAUGAUGUGUAGUGCUGGGCAUAAUCCAGUAUGAAACCAUGACAUGUACACUGUUGUGCCUAAUCCUAGGUCAAAGCAAACUGAUCUGAAUGUUGAAAACAUUAAACCUAGAUUACAGCA
Long non-coding RNA from Polyodon spathula (Mississippi paddlefish), 606 nucleotides. RefSeq lists it as uncharacterized. The record is from RefSeq and is a predicted model, not a curated record. Lineage: Eukaryota; Metazoa; Chordata; Actinopteri; Acipenseriformes; Polyodontidae. The transcript has 5 exons.